GGAGGGUACAACUCAGUGGCAGAGCACAUGCCUAGCAUGCAUGAGGUCCUGGGUUCAUUCCCCAGAACCUCCA
Camelus ferus (Wild Bactrian camel) is the source of this 73-nucleotide non-coding RNA. The record is from Rfam. NCBI's taxonomy places the organism in Eukaryota, Metazoa, Chordata, Mammalia, Artiodactyla, Camelidae.